Molecule: long non-coding RNA, 336 nt
Filed under: Androctonus crassicauda
Lineage: Eukaryota; Metazoa; Arthropoda; Arachnida; Scorpiones; Buthidae
Source: RNAcentral
UUGAAUGGGACCGGGUGGAAAUGAUGAAGACGAUUUGGUUGCCGUCGCAAGCUGUAAUCCAAGAGACUGUUGAAAUUUGGAGGAGAGGAGGGGACCGGGAUCUAAUGGGUGAUGGGCCUGCUGCCGAGUUGCUGGUGGCUUGGAGGUGUAUGCUGAGGGACUUUGAAGGGCUAACAGUGACUCCAACCGGACCUGGGACUUGUACCGCUUGUUUUGUGAUCUCCUGCCGCUUGUUGUUUAUAUAUAUAUUUUAUUUAUAUUGUUAGUGUGUUUUGGUUGGUCACCUUUAUGUUUGGACCUAUGGUGUGGUGCACGAUGUUAUUAAUUUUGGUUUUU